AACUCGUCAACAUUGAUGGAAAGCCAUGAUUGCCACAAGAUGUACUCGGAGGCCUGAUUUCUUGAGUUCUAAUACCAUUGGUAAAGAAGGAGUCAACACUGUCCAUUCUGGCACCAUAUGUGGAAUCUCUUCCAUUUGUACAGCUCUAGCAAUCCCUCUGACCCCUGCUCACCAACUACAGUCCUUGAUGUGUGGACCCCAGCCCAGCUGUGACCUGUAGGACAGACUGCCUACACUCCAGUCCCUUACACUGAGAACCAAGAUACUCCCAGCCUAUCUUCACAUAACCUUCAAAUAACAGCUUGAUUGAAUUUAAGUUCGUAUUUAUAGGACCGUCAAUUCAUAUGAAGUUGCCCAGUGAAACCUUAAAAGCGAGGCUGGCAGCACAAGACUUCACCAACAGACACCGGAGCGACCAGCUACAAUGACCCAAAUGAACAAAAGUCUUUGCAACUGAGCUGAUGAAGAGAAAUCAUUCCCAGAGAGAG
Molecule: long non-coding RNA, 488 nt
Organism: Caretta caretta (loggerhead turtle)
Lineage: Eukaryota; Metazoa; Chordata; Testudines; Cheloniidae
Source: RefSeq, a predicted model, not a curated record